RNAcentral lists this ribosomal RNA (782 nucleotides) under uncultured bacterium. RNAcentral's name for it is "bacterial SSU rRNA". It matches the Rfam family "Bacterial small subunit ribosomal RNA", at positions 8 to 796 of the family's 1533-position model. The record is from RNAcentral.
AGAGUUUGAUCAUGGCUCAGAAUCAACGCUGGCGGCGUGCCUAACACAUGCAAGUCGAGCGAGAAAAGGGGGGCAACUCCCUGAGUAAAGCGGCGCACGGGUGAGUAACACGUGGGUAAUCUGCCCUGGAGUGGGGAAUAACACCGGGAAACCGGUGCUAAUACCGCAUACGAUCACAGAGUCUGCGGAUUUUGUGAUGAAAGGAGCAAUUCGCUCUAGGAGGAGCCCGCGGCUGAUUAGCUAGUUGGUGAGGUAACGGCUCACCAAGGCUACGAUCAGUAUCCGGUCUGAGAGGACGGUCGGACACACUGGAACUGAGACACGGUCCAGACUCCUACGGGAGGCAGCAGUGGGGAAUUUUUGGCAAUGGGGGCAACCCUGACCAAGCAACGCCGCGUGGGUGAUGAAGUCUCUUGGGACGUAAAACCCUUUCGACGGGGAAGAAAACCGCAAGGUUUGACGGUACCCGUAGAAGAAGCCCCGGCUAACUCCGUGCCAGCAGCCGCGGUAAUACGGGGGGGGCAAGCGUUGUUCGGAAUUACUGGGCGUAAAGGGCGCGUAGGCGGUUCGCUAAGUUGGAUGUGAAAACUCUGGGCUCAACCCAGAGCCUGCAUCCAAAACUGGCGGGCUAGAGUUCUGGAGGGGGUAGCGGAAUUCCUGGUGUAGCGGAAAUGCGUAGAUAUCAGGAGGAACACCGGUGGCGAAGGCGGCUACCUGGACAGAAACUGACGCUGAGGCGCGAAAGCUAGGGGAGCAAACAGGAUUAGAUACCCUAGUAGUCC